UCCUCUUUAGCUCAGUUGGUUAGAGCAUCUGACUGUUAAUCAGAGGGUCCUAAGUUCGAGUCUUAGAAGAGGAGCCA
Molecule: transfer RNA, 77 nt
Filed under: Oceanihabitans sp. 2_MG-2023
Lineage: Bacteria; Pseudomonadati; Bacteroidota; Flavobacteriia; Flavobacteriales; Flavobacteriaceae
Description: tRNA-Asn
Rfam family: tRNA
About the family: Transfer RNA (tRNA) molecules are approximately 80 nucleotides in length.
Source: RNAcentral